Molecule: ribosomal RNA, 253 nt
Filed under: uncultured bacterium
Lineage: Bacteria
Description: partial 16S ribosomal RNA
Rfam family: Bacterial small subunit ribosomal RNA
Source: RNAcentral
UACGGGGGGGGCAAGCGUUGUUCGGAAUUACUGGGCGUAAAGGGCUCGUAGGCGGCCAACUAAGUCAGACGUGAAAUCCCCAGGCUCAACCUGGGAACUGCGUCUGAUACUGGAUGGCUUGAAUCCGGGAGAGGGAUGCAGAAUUCCAGGUGUAGCGGUGAAAUGCGUAGAUAUCUGGAGGAAUACCGGUGGCGAAGGUGGGUCUCUGGGCCGAUACUGACGCUGAGGAGCGAAAGCGUGGGGAGCGAACAGG